This is a long non-coding RNA of Siniperca chuatsi (mandarin fish), 796 nucleotides long. RefSeq lists it as uncharacterized. Lineage: Eukaryota; Metazoa; Chordata; Actinopteri; Centrarchiformes; Sinipercidae. The transcript has 2 exons. The record is from RefSeq and is a predicted model, not a curated record.
AAUACAGUUCUGUCAUCUGCUCAGCCAAGACAAAUGGACAAGACAUCACAGCAAGCACAGGUGGAAAACACAGGUUGCAAACGAAAAUCACCACUUAACUGCUGACUAAAUAAUCAGAAAUGGGGAACGCACCAUCAGAAUGUAACAUGGGCGACCGCCUGAGAUGCUGCAAGUGCAAUAAAGUCCUGCCUCCAUGCAAAUCCUUUGAUGAUUUAUACAAAAGUAUUGUUCAUGGGCGGGACGUAUAUGUGUUCAAUGGAUGUGAAUACUACAGACCAGUUGGCUACGAUAAUAUGUACGAGUGUAAUUAUUGCUUUAAUAAGCCAAUCAGGGAUCAAGAGGAGCGACAGAGGAGAGAAGAGGAGAAGAGAAGAGAAGAGGAGAGGAGAAGAGAAGAGGAGCGACAGAGAACUGCCACAGUUUGGAUGACAGGAAUGUUCUUAACAAAGCUCUUUGCACUUGGUGAAUUCUUCUUCUUCCAUAAAGUAAUCUUGCUACCUUCAGAUCCACCAGGUUGCAUCCAGUUCACAUUUUCCUAAAUUCUGUUUAUCACUGCGCCCCUGCUCUGUGUCUACAGCAUCUCAUGCAUUAUCUUAAAAAUGGUGUCAAAUGUUUCAUUCAGAAAUUCAAUGUAACUGCAAGUGCUACAGCUAAAUUAAAACUGAUGUUCUGGGUAACAAUGAACUUGCAAUAUAUUCUGUGUAUUACUUUGCACAAUGCUCUCUCAUUAUGGCCUGAAUAGCAUGCAACCGUAUGUCUGAAAUACUUCUGUCUUAAUAAAGCGAGCUGAGAGCUA